Molecule: ribosomal RNA, 1198 nt
Filed under: uncultured bacterium
Lineage: Bacteria
Description: bacterial SSU rRNA
Rfam family: Bacterial small subunit ribosomal RNA
Source: RNAcentral
GCGACGAUCAGUAGCGGGUCUGAGAGGAUGAUCCGCCACACUGGAACUGAGACACGGUCCAGACUCCUACGGGAGGCAGCAGUGGGGAAUUUUGGACAAUGGGGGCAACCCUGAUCCAGCCAUUCCGCGUGAGUGAAGAAGGCCUUCGGGUUGUAAAGCUCUUUCGGCAGGAACGAAACGGUUACGGCCAAUACCCGUGACUAAUGACGGUACCUGAAGAAGAAGCACCGGCUAACUACGUGCCAGCAGCCGCGGUAAUACGUAGGGUGCGAGCGUUAAUCGGAAUUACUGGGCGUAAAGCGUGCGCAGGCGGCUUUUUAAGCCAGAUGUGAAAUCCCCGGGCUUAACCUGGGAACUGCAUUUGGAACUGGAAGGCUAGAGUGCGGCAGAGGGGGGUAGAAUUCCACGUGUAGCAGUGAAAUGCGUAGAGAUGUGGAGGAAUACCGAUGGCGAAGGCAGCCCCCUGGGUCGACACUGACGCUCAUGCACGAAAGCGUGGGGAGCAAACAGGAUUAGAUACCCUGGUAGUCCACGCCCUAAACGAUGUCUACUAGUUGUUGGAGGAGUGAAAUCCUUUAGUAACGAAGCUAACGUCGUGAAGUAGACCGCGUGGGGAGUACGUUCGCAAGAUUAAAACUCAAAGGGAUUGACGGGGACCCGCACAAGCGGUGGAUGAUGUGAAUUAAUUCGAUGCUACGCGAAGAACCUUACCUACCCUUGACAUGUCCGAAACUUUCCAGAGAUGGAUUGGUGCCCGAAAGGGAAUCGGAACACAGGUGCUGCAUGGCUGUCGUCAGCUCGUGUCGUGAGAUGUUGGGUUAAGUCCCGCAACGAGCGCAACCCUUGUCCUUAGUUGCUACGCAAGGGCACUCUAAGGAGACUGCCGGUGACAAACCGGAGGAAGGUGGGGAUGACGUCAAGUCCUCAUGGCCCUUAUGGGUAGGGCUUCACACGUCAUACAAUGGUCGGUACAGAGGGUUGCCAAGCCGCGAGGUGGAGCCAAUCCCACAAAGCCGAUCGUAGUCCGGAUUGUUCUCUGCAACUCGAGAGCAUGAAGUCGGAAUCGCUAGUAAUCGCAGGUCAGCAUACUGCGGUGAAUACGUUCCCGGGUCUUGUACACACCGCCCGUCACACCAUGGGAGUGGGUUGCAAAAGAAGUAGGUAGUCUAACCGCAAGGAGGGCGCUUACCACUUUGUG